RNAcentral lists this ribosomal RNA (586 nucleotides) under uncultured fungus. RNAcentral's name for it is "eukaryotic LSU rRNA". It matches the Rfam family "Eukaryotic large subunit ribosomal RNA", at positions 40 to 572 of the family's 3401-position model. The record is from RNAcentral. Lineage: Eukaryota; Fungi.
AUAUCAUUAAGCGGAGGAAAAGAAACCAACAGGGAUGCCCUCAGUAACGGCGAGUGAAGCGGGCAAAGCUCAAACUGAAAAUCGGGAACCUAAGCGGGUUUUCGAAUUGUAGUCUAACGACGUGGCAUCAGUAGGGACACGGGUAUAAAUCCUUUGGAACAGGGUAUCAGAGAGGGUGAGAAUCCCGUAUUUGACUCGGAGUUCUCUGCAUACGAUCCGCGUUCUCAGAGUCGAGUUGCUUGGGAUUGCAGCUCUAAGUGGGUGGUAAGUUUCAUCUAAAGCUAAAUAUGGACGAGAGACCGAUAGCGAACAAGUACCGUGAGGGAAAGAUGAAAAGAACUUUGAAAAGAGAGUUAAAAAGUACCUGAAAUUGUUAAGAGGUAAGCACUGGAAACCAGUCGUCUGUCUGCAAUCCUCGUUCGUCCGCUAGUCUUCAGCAUGGCGCUGCGACCGAAAGGCACAGUUGUUGUGUUCGGAGGCAUGUGGGUGGGCUCAGUUGUGGAUAGAAAGUCAAAAUCGUUUUGAUUCGAGGGAGAAAGCUAUGGGGAAGGUAGGGCAUUUAUGCCUGUUACAGCCCUGUAGUCCU